RNAcentral lists this ribosomal RNA (2804 nucleotides) under Escherichia coli. RNAcentral describes it as "23S ribosomal RNA". It matches the Rfam family "Bacterial large subunit ribosomal RNA". The record is from RNAcentral. Lineage: Bacteria; Pseudomonadati; Pseudomonadota; Gammaproteobacteria; Enterobacterales; Enterobacteriaceae.
GGGUUGUGAGGUUAAGCGACUAAGCGUACACGGUGGAUGCCCUGGCAGUCAGAGGCGAUGAAGGACGUGCUAAUCUGCGAUAAGCGUCGGUAAGGUGAUAUGAACCGUUAUAACCGGCGAUUUCCGAAUGGGGAAACCCAGUGUGAUUCGUCACACUAUCAUUAACUGAAUCCAUAGGUUAAUGAGGCGAACCGGGGGAACUGAAACAUCUAAGUACCCCGAGGAAAAGAAAUCAACCGAGAUUCCCCCAGUAGCGGCGAGCGAACGGGGAGSAGCCCAGAGCCUGAAUCAGUGUGUGUGUUAGUGGAAGCGUCUGGAAAGGCGCGCGAUACAGGGUGACAGCCCCGUACACAAAAAUGCACAURCUGUGAGCUCGAUGAGUAGGGCGGGACACGUGGUAUCCUGUCUGAAUAUGGGGGGACCAUCCUCCAAGGCUAAAUACUCCUGACUGACCGAUAGUGAACCAGUACCGUGAGGGAAAGGCGAAAAGAACCCCGGCGAGGGGAGUGAAAAAGAACCUGAAACCGUGUACGUACAAGCAGUGGGAGCACGCUUCGGCGUGUGACUGCGUACCUUUUGUAUAAUGGGUCAGCGACUUAUAUUCUGUAGCAAGGUUAACCGAAUAGGGGAGCCGAAGGGAAACCGAGUCUUAACUGGGCGUUAAGUUGCAGGGUAUAGACCCGAAACCCGGUGAUCUAGCCAUGGGCAGGUUGAAGGUUGGGUAACACUAACUGGAGGACCGAACCGACUAAUGUUGAAAAAUUAGCGGAUGACUUGUGGCUGGGGGUGAAAGGCCAAUCAAACCGGGAGAUAGCUGGUUCUCCCCGAAAGCUAUUUAGGUAGCGCCUCGUGAAUUCAUCUCCGGGGGUAGAGCACUGUUUCGGCAAGGGGGUCAUCCCGACUUACCAACCCGAUGCAAACUGCGAAUACCGGAGAAUGUUAUCACGGGAGACACACGGCGGGUGCUAACGUCCGUCGUGAAGAGGGAAACAACCCAGACCGCCAGCUAAGGUCCCAAAGUCAUGGUUAAGUGGGAAACGAUGUGGGAAGGCCCAGACAGCCAGGAUGUUGGCUUAGAAGCAGCCAUCAUUUAAAGAAAGCGUAAUAGCUCACUGGUCGAGUCGGCCUGCGCGGAAGAUGUAACGGGGCUAAACCAUGCACCGAAGCUGCGGCAGCGACACUAUGUGUUGUUGGGUAGGGGAGCGUUCUGUAAGCCUGUGAAGGUGURCUGUGAGGYAUGCUGGAGGUAUCAGAAGUGCGAAUGCUGACAUAAGUAACGAUAAAGCGGGUGAAAAGCCCGCUCGCCGGAAGACCAAGGGUUCCUGUCCAACGUUAAUCGGGGCAGGGUGAGUCGACCCCUAAGGCGAGGCCGAAAGGCGUAGUCGAUGGGAAACAGGUUAAUAUUCCUGUACUUGGUGUUACUGCGAAGGGGGGACGGAGAAGGCUAUGUUGGCCGGGCGACGGUUGUCCCGGUUUAAGCGUGUAGGCUGGUUUUCCAGGCAAAUCCGGAAAAUCAAGGCUGAGGCGUGAUGACGAGGCACUACGGUGCUGAAGCAACAAAUGCCCUGCUUCCAGGAAAAGCCUCUAAGCAUCAGGUAACAUCAAAUCGUACCCCAAACCGACACAGGUGGUCAGGUAGAGAAUACCAAGGCGCUUGAGAGAACUCGGGUGAAGGAACUAGGCAAAAUGGUGCCGUAACUUCGGGAGAAGGCACGCUGAUAUGUAGGUGAAGCGACUUGCUCGUGGAGCUGAAAUCAGUCGAAGAUACCAGCUGGCUGCAACUGUUUAUUAAAAACACAGCACUGUGCAAACACGAAAGUGGACGUAUACGGUGUGACGCCUGCCCGGUGCCGGAAGGUUAAUUGAUGGGGUUAGCGCAAGCGAAGCUCUUGAUCGAAGCCCCGGUAAACGGCGGCCGUAACUAUAACGGUCCUAAGGUAGCGAAAUUCCUUGUCGGGUAAGUUCCGACCUGCACGAAUGGCGUAAUGAUGGCCAGGCUGUCUCCACCCGAGACUCAGUGAAAUUGAACUCGCUGUGAAGAUGCAGUGUACCCGCGGCAAGACGGAAAGACCCCGUGAACCUUUACUAUAGCUUGACACUGAACAUUGAGCCUUGAUGUGUAGGAUAGGUGGGAGGCUUUGAAGUGUGGACGCCAGUCUGCAUGGAGCCGACCUUGAAAUACCACCCUUUAAUGUUUGAUGUUCUAACGUUGRCCCGUKAUCCGGGUUGCGGACAGUGUCUGGUGGGUAGUUUGACUGGGGCGGUCUCCUCCUAAAGAGUAACGGAGGAGCACGAAGGUUGGCUAAUCCUGGUCGGACAUCAGGAGGUUAGUGCAAUGGCAUAAGCCAGCUUGACUGCGAGCGUGACGGCGCGAGCAGGUGCGAAAGCAGGUCAUAGUGAUCCGGUGGUUCUGAAUGGAAGGGCCAUCGCUCAACGGAUAAAAGGUACUCCGGGGAUAACAGGCUGAUACCGCCCAAGAGUUCAUAUCGACGGCGGUGUUUGGCACCUCGAUGUCGGCUCAUCACAUCCUGGGGCUGAAGUAGGUCCCAAGGGUAUGGCUGUUCGCCAUUUAAAGUGGUACGCGAGCUGGGUUUAGAACGUCGUGAGACAGUUCGGUCCCUAUCUGCCGUGGGCGCUGGAGAACUGAGGGGGGCUGCUCCUAGUACGAGAGGACCGGAGUGGACGCAUCACUGGUGUUCGGGUUGUCAUGCCAAUGGCACUGCCCGGUAGCUAAAUGCGGAAGAGAUAAGUGCUGAAAGCAUCUAAGCACGAAACUUGCCCCGAGAUGAGUUCUCCCUGACUCC